Molecule: ribosomal RNA, 587 nt
Filed under: uncultured bacterium
Lineage: Bacteria
Description: bacterial SSU rRNA
Rfam family: Bacterial small subunit ribosomal RNA
Source: RNAcentral
CCUACGGGAGGCAGCAGUGAGGAAUAUUGGUCAAUGGGCGCAAGCCUGAACCAGCCAUGCCGCGUGCAGGAAGAAUGCCCUACGGGUUGUAAACUGCUUUUAUUUGGGAAUAAACCUUUCUACGUGUAGAAAGCUGAAGGUACCAAUUGAAUAAGCACCGGCUAACUCCGUGCCAGCAGCCGCGGUAAUACGGAGGGUGCAAGCGUUAUCCGGAAUCAUUGGGUUUAAAGGGUCCGCAGGCGGACCUAUAAGUCAGUGGUGAAAGCCUACAGCUUAACUGUAGAACUGCCAUUGAAACUGUAGGUCUUGAAUUCGGUCGAAGUGGGCGGAAUGUGUAGUGUAGCGGUGAAAUGCAUAGAUAUUACACAGAACACCGAUAGCGAAGGCAGCUCACUAGGCCUGGAUUGACGCUCAGGGACGAAAGCGUGGGGAUCAAACAGGAUUAGAUACCCGUGGUACGCCCACGCCGUAAACCUAUGAUUACUCGUUUUACGGUCGAUAUACAGUCGGAGACUAAGCGAAAGUGAUAAGUAAUCCACCGUGGGGAGUACGAUCGCAAGGUUGAAACUCGAAAGGAAGUUAGACGG